RNAcentral lists this ribosomal RNA (850 nucleotides) under bacterium. RNAcentral describes it as "bacterial SSU rRNA". It matches the Rfam family "Bacterial small subunit ribosomal RNA", at positions 575 to 1474 of the family's 1533-position model. The record is from RNAcentral.
GGGGUCUUAAGUCAAUGGAAUCCCGGGCUACCUGGGAAUCCAUUGAACUGCAGGUUGAUCUUUAAGGGGGUGAUUCCAGGGUACCGGGAAUGGGUAGAAUGGAGGAACCCGGGGGAGGGGGCCCCUGACAAAACUGCCUUCAGGUGGAAAGCGGGGGACAACCAGGUUAGAACCUUGGAUUCCACCGGAAAGGAUUCGACUGCAGGUGUUCCCUAAGUAGUAGUUCCGAAGUAACCCGUAAAGUGGCCCCUGGGGAGACGCCCGCAAGGUAAAAUUCAAAUAAUGACGGGGCCCGCCCAACCGGGGACCAUUGGUUAUUUCGAUGCAACGCGAAGACCCUUACAUACUCUGGACAUCCAUGGAAUUUCGCAGAGAUGCUUUGGUCCCUUCGGGACCCUUGAGCCAGGUGCUCCAUGGCGGUCGCCAGCUCGGGUUGGGAAAUGUUGGGUUAAGUCCCGCAACGAGCGCAACCUUGUCCCUAGGUUGCCACAGAUUCGGUCGGGAACUCAAAGGAGACUGCCGGUGACAAACCGGAGGAAGGUGGGGAUGACGUCAAGUCAUCAUGGCCCUUACGACUAGGGCUACACACGUGCUACAAUGGCGCAUACAAAGAGAAGCCACCUCGCGAGAGCGAGCGGACCUCACAAAACGCGUCGUAGUCCGGAUCGCAGUCUGCAACUCGACUCCGUGAAGUCGGAAUCGCUAGUAAUCGUGGAUCAGAAUGCCACGGUGAAUACGUUCCCGGGCCUUGUACACACCGCCCGUCACACCAUGGGGAAGUGGGGUUGCACACAAGAAGUAAGGCGUAGUCUUAACCUUCGGGAGACGCUAACCACGGUGGAUCAGGUGU